GGCAGGGUGGCGGAGUGGUCUAACGCGUUCGACUCGAAUCAUCAAUGAUACAAGUCAUCGAAUCUCUUCGGAGGCAUGGGUUCAAAUCCCAUCCCUGUCG
RNAcentral lists this transfer RNA (100 nucleotides) under Aspergillus alliaceus. It matches the Rfam family "tRNA". From Rfam's summary of the family: Transfer RNA (tRNA) molecules are approximately 80 nucleotides in length. Their secondary structure includes four short double-helical elements and three loops (D, anti-codon, and T loops). The record is from Rfam by way of RNAcentral. Lineage: Eukaryota; Fungi; Ascomycota; Eurotiomycetes; Eurotiales; Aspergillaceae.